GACGAACGCUGGCGGCGUGCUUAACACAUGCAAGUCGAACGGAAAGGCCCUGCUUUUGUGGGGUGCUCGAGUGGCGAACGGGUGAGUAACACGUGAGUAACAUGCCCUUGACUUUGGGAUAACUUCAGGAAACUGGGGCUAAUACCGGAUAGGAGCUCCUGCUGCAUGGUGGGGGUUGGAAAGUUUCGGCGGUUGGGGAUGGACUCGCGGCUUAUGAGCUUGUUGGUGGGGUAGUGGCUUACCAAGGGUUUGACGGGUAGCCGGCCUGAGAGGGUGAACGGCGACAUUGCGACUAAGAGACGGAGCAGACGCCUACGGGACGCAACAGGGGAGAGUCUGACAGAAUGGGGGGAAGCGAGAGAUAGCGGCGCCGCGUGCGGGAAAACGGGCUUCUGGUUAUGAACCACUUUGGAAGUAGACGAGGAGUGAGUGACGGUAAUGAAUAAGAAAGCAACGGCUAACUACGUG
RNAcentral lists this ribosomal RNA (468 nucleotides) under uncultured bacterium. RNAcentral describes it as "partial 16S ribosomal RNA". It matches the Rfam family "Bacterial small subunit ribosomal RNA", at positions 28 to 507 of the family's 1533-position model. The record is from RNAcentral.